GAACGCGAAGAACCUUACCAAGUCUUGACAUCCUUUGACCACUCUAGAGAUAGAGCUUUCCCUUCGGGGACAAAGUGACAGGUGGUGCAUGGUCGUCGUCAGCUCGUGUCGUGAGAUGUUGGGUUAAGUCCCGCAACGAGCGCAACCCUUAUUACUAGUUGCCAGCAUUGAGUUGGGCACUCUAGUGAGACUGCCGGUGACAAACCGGAGGAAGGUGGGGAUGACGUCAAAUCAUCAUGCCCCUUAUGACUUGGGCUACACACGUGCUACAAUGGAUGGUACAACGAGCAGCGAACUCGCGAGGGUAAGCGAAUCUCUUAAAGCCAUUCUCAGUUCGGAUUGUAGGCUGCAACUCGCCUACAUGAAGACGGAAUCGCUAGUAAUCGCGGAUCAGCACGCCGCGGUGAAUACGUUCCCGGGUCUUGUACACACC
Molecule: ribosomal RNA, 433 nt
Filed under: uncultured bacterium
Lineage: Bacteria
Description: bacterial SSU rRNA
Rfam family: Bacterial small subunit ribosomal RNA
Source: RNAcentral